RNAcentral lists this ribosomal RNA (334 nucleotides) under Segatella baroniae. RNAcentral describes it as "bacterial SSU rRNA". It matches the Rfam family "Bacterial small subunit ribosomal RNA", at positions 144 to 473 of the family's 1533-position model. Lineage: Bacteria; Pseudomonadati; Bacteroidota; Bacteroidia; Bacteroidales; Prevotellaceae. The record is from RNAcentral.
UAACCUGCCGAAAGGCAGACUAAUUCCCCGAUGUCCUCCACUUUGGACAUCUUUUGUGGAGCAAAGGCUUCGGCCGGUUGCGGAUGGGGAUGCGUCCGAUUAGCUUGUUGGCGGGGCGACGGCCCACCAAGGCUUCGAUCGGUAGGGGUUCUGAGAGGAAGGCCCCCCACAUUGGAACUGAGACACGGUCCAAACUCCUACGGGAGGCAGCAGUGAGGAAUAUUGGUCAAUGGGCGGAAGCCUGAACCAGCCAAGUAGCGUGCAGGAUGACGGCCCUAUGGGUUGUAAACUGCUUUUAUGCGGGGAUAACCGGGGCCACGCGUGGCCCCCUGCA